This is a long non-coding RNA of Micropterus dolomieu (smallmouth bass), 504 nucleotides long. RefSeq lists it as uncharacterized. The transcript has 3 exons. Lineage: Eukaryota; Metazoa; Chordata; Actinopteri; Centrarchiformes; Centrarchidae. The record is from RefSeq and is a predicted model, not a curated record.
GAGAGGAGCAGCCAUCAGGCUGAAUCAUCUUGACAAGGCGGCAUGGCCCAAUUACACUAGAGCUCCACCGGGCUUUGAUGUGGCGGAAAAGCAGAGAGAUAGGGGCAAAUUGCACAGCCAUAUUAUGCCCCUCAGAUUGGAAUUGUCUUGGGUUAUGGCGCUGGGCCCUGUCUGUAUGGUUAAUUAGUCUGACGAGUAGCCACCGUACUCCUCUCCGCUCUCCACGCCGUCACGCCUGCAGCAACUUGGUUUAUUGUUCCUGAUGACUGACUAGCAUGCAGCGGAGAGCGGAUCAAACUCAAGAGAAGGAGCGCGACUGAUCAGCUGUCACAGGAGAAGACAGAUAGAGUGGCUGGUUGAACCUAAAAGCUUUGCAUUUAAAGAAUGAGUGACUCAAUCAUUCACAGCUUUGAGGAAAGACGGGCUUGCUAACCUUCAUGUGAACCCACCUGUGGACCAUUUCCAACUGUUAGACCACUAUUAUAUGAGGGGGGAAAAGAAAGA